GUUCCGGUUCAUUUGCACACGGCCCGCUGCGCACGUGCAGGUUAGCCUGAGCUAAUUGCAAAGUUUGGAGGACACCUGAUGCAAAACGAUGAAAGCUUGCUUGGUUUUCUCAAAUUUAGUCGCUUUGCAGUAAAUUUAUCAAGACGUUUUUGGAAUAUGUCGUGUUAUACAGAAGGGGAAACCAAAUGGAAACUUUUUGUUGUUUUUUCACUUUGGACGUUGGCCAUUAAUGGCGCACAUCCACUUUCCUCAUCUCAGCAGGUGGGCUGGAAAAGAGUCAACGCUGUGAAGAAGCUGCAGGAGAAUCCCAGCAGAUUGAUUCUGAUUGAUUUCCAGAUCAGUUUGAUGCAAAGACUCAGCUCUCCUCCACACAGGUCAGGGAUCAUUAAAGUCCUGCCCCAUUCACAUCAUCACUCCACAAACUGUAUCAACGUUGUUCAAAGUAGUCAGUGAAAAGUGUCUGUAUCUACAUUAUUUAAUUCACUGCCAGUGUUUGGUUCUUGGUACUAUUUGGGGCUCUACAACGAUGUUUUCCAACCUUUUUGGCUUGAAACACCUUAAACUAAAUGCUGUGUACUUUUUGACAUUGAAUAAUCGGUAAUAAACUCAGUUUUUUCUAUGCCAGCACCCUUUCCUGUGGUAAUAAUACACCAUUUCCAUCCAGCUCCAUGUGUUUAAAUCUGUGUUCUCAGUUUGUGAGGGUUUGGAGUUUUAGUCGGACAGCGAGGCUACGUUAAGACAAGUUCACUUUAAUGAGAAAAGUUUAGCAAAAUACAUUAUAUUGAUUAUCUGGUUGAUUCUUUAGCAGUGCGUUGUAUUUUCAAAGCUCGUUAUAUUAUCCAUUGUGUCAAAUCUUAAUCUUUGCAGGUAGACAGUCACUGUAGACUCAUCCAAUCAGAAUGUUGAUCAUUUCUCAAUAGAUUUACAUUUUGUUUCAUUGCAGAAAGGAAAUUCUUAAAAGCCGUUCCAAUGUCAUGUCCAUUUUGUAUAGUCUUCCCCUCCUCAUUGUAGUUUGAAGUGGGUGGGUGACAGAACAUGUGGUACUGACCACCAGCACAAACAAUAAAAUGAGAUCACUUAGUUGUAUAAACUUUGCUCUCACAUCCUUCUCAUCGUCACCCUUGAGUGGUGAAUUCAAGCCACCUCUUGCCUACGCUGUGUAAAUUAUCAUAUGAAUAAAGGUACAUUCAUUGAGGAACAAUGACUCUUCUUUUGUGUUUUGUUGCUUUUCAUUCAACAUUAAUACAUUGUUUUGCUUGUCUUGUUAUUGCAGCAUUUAC
This is a long non-coding RNA of Amphiprion ocellaris (clown anemonefish), 1280 nucleotides long. The record is from Ensembl. NCBI's taxonomy places the organism in Eukaryota, Metazoa, Chordata, Actinopteri, Pomacentridae.